Molecule: ribosomal RNA, 434 nt
Filed under: uncultured Lachnospiraceae bacterium
Lineage: Bacteria; Bacillati; Bacillota; Clostridia; Lachnospirales; Lachnospiraceae
Description: bacterial SSU rRNA
Rfam family: Bacterial small subunit ribosomal RNA
Source: RNAcentral
ACGGAAGGCAGCAGUGGGGAAUAUUGCACAAUGGGGGAAACCCUGAUGCAGCGACGCCGCGUGAGUGAAGAAGUAUUUCGGUAUGUAAAGCUCUAUCAGCAGGGAAGAAAAUGACGGUACCUGACUAAGAAGCCCCGGCUAACUACGUGCCAGCAGUCGCGGUAAUACGUAGGGGGCAAGCGUUAUCCGGAUUUACUGGGUGUAAAGGGUGCGUAGGCGGCACGACAAGUCAGAAGUGAAAUCCCAGGGCUCAACCCUGGAACUGCUUUUGAAACUGUCGAGCUAGAGUACAGGAGAGGUAAGCGGAAUUCCUAGUGUAGCGGUGAAAUGCGUAGAUAUUAGGAGGAACACCAGUGGCGAAGGCGGCUUGCUGGACUGACACUGACGCUGAGGCACGAAAGCGUGGGGAGCAAACAGGAUUAGAUACCCUGGUA